Molecule: long non-coding RNA, 398 nt
Organism: Oreochromis aureus
Lineage: Eukaryota; Metazoa; Chordata; Actinopteri; Cichliformes; Cichlidae
Exons: 3
Source: RefSeq, a predicted model, not a curated record
GAUCUGCAGGAUCCUGCUGCUCAUCAUCCUCACCUCAUGUGUCUCUGGAUCAUUUGUAGUCAAUGUGACACAGACCUCCUAUCAGGCAGAGGAGAACCACAACAUCACACUGGAGUGGACGUUCACACCCACAGCUGAGAGCUUUUCCAUCAUCUGCGAAAAGGAAGCUGAUAAUACAGCCUGGGUCUUCUAUCAUGUUCAUGAAGGUGUUGAGGUGUCAGAGUCUCAGGAUGAAACGUUUUCAGGACGAGUCCAGAGUGACAAAGACGCCCUCAGAGAAGGACGAAUCAGACUUCAGCUGUCCAGACUCAGGACUGAUGACUCGGCAGCUACUGACCAACUCCAGUCUCAGAGUGCAGAAAGUUGGGGAAGGAAUAAACUUUCCAUCGGACUGGGAC